RNAcentral lists this ribosomal RNA (428 nucleotides) under Verrucomicrobiota bacterium. RNAcentral describes it as "Verrucomicrobia bacterium partial 16S ribosomal RNA". It matches the Rfam family "Bacterial small subunit ribosomal RNA", at positions 355 to 776 of the family's 1533-position model. Lineage: Bacteria; Pseudomonadati; Verrucomicrobiota. The record is from RNAcentral.
UAGGGAAUCUUCCGCAAUGGACGAAAGUCUGACGGAGCAACGCCGCGUGAGUGAAGAAGGAUUUCGGUUCGUAAAACUCUGUUGUUAGGGAAGAAAAAAUGUAUAGUAACUAUAUACAAAAGAGACGGUACCUAACCAGAAAGCCACGGCUAAAUACGUGCCAGCAGCCGCGGUAAUACGUAUGGGGCGAGCGUUGUCCGGAAUUAUUGGGCGUAAAGGGUACGUAGGCGGUCUAUUAAGUCAGGUGUGAAAGCGUGAGGCUUAACCUCAUUAAGCACUUGAAACUGAUAGACUUGAGUGAAGGAGAGGAAAGUGGAAUUCCUAGUGUAGCGGUGAAAUGCGUAGAUAUUAGGAGGAAUACCGGUGGCGAAGGCGACUUUCUGGACUUUUACUGACGCUCAGGUACGAAAGCGUGGGGAGCAAACAGG